GUAAGGAAUAUUGCGCAAUGGAGGCAACUCUGACGCAGCCAUGCCGCGUGCAGGAAGAAGGCGCUACGCGUUGUAAACUGCUUUUAACCGGGAAGAAACCCCAGGACGUGUCCUGGGUUGACGGUACCGGAGGAAUAAGCACCGGCUAACUUCGUGCCAGCAGCCGCGGUAAUACGAAGGGUGCAAGCGUUAUCCGGAUUCAUUGGGUUUAAAGGGUGCGUAGGCGGAGCGUUAAGUCAGUGGUGAAAUCCUGCAGCUUAACUGUAGACUUGCCAUUGAUACUGGCGCUCUUGAGUGCGCUUGAAGUGGGCGGAAUGUGCCGUGUAGCGGUGAAAUGCUUAGAUAUGGCACAGAACACCAAUUGCGAAGGCAGCUCACUAAGGCGAUACUGACGCUGAGGCACGAAAGCGUGGGGAUCGAACAGGAUUAGAAACCCUUGUAGUCC
This 445-nucleotide ribosomal RNA is filed under the name uncultured bacterium. RNAcentral's name for it is "partial 16S ribosomal RNA". It matches the Rfam family "Bacterial small subunit ribosomal RNA", at positions 354 to 796 of the family's 1533-position model. The record is from RNAcentral.